AGGAUAGAGGCCUACCAUGGUGGUAACGGGUAACGGGGUGUUAGGGCACGACACCGGAGAGGGAGCCUGAGAAACGGCUACCACAUCCAAGGAUGGCAGCAGGCGCGCAAAUUACCCAAUCCCGACACGGGGAGGUAGUGACAAUAAAUAACAAUACGGGGUUCUUUAGGAUCUCGUAAUUGGAAUGAGUACAAUUUAAAUCUCUUAACGAGGAACAAUUGGAGGGCAAGUCUGGUGCCAGCAGCCGCGGUAAUUCCAGCUCCAAUAGCGUAUAUUAAAGUUGCUGCAGUUAAAAAGCUCGUAGUUGAAUUUCGGGACCAAUAUGUCGGUCGUGCCUCGGUACGUACUGGCAUCGUUGGUUUCUCCCUUCUGACGAACCAUGAUGUCAUUUAUUUGGUGUCGUGGGGAAUCGGGACUGUUACUUUGAAAAAAUUAGAGUGUUUAAAGCAGGCUCACGCUUGAAUACAUUAGCAUGGAAUAAUGAAAUAGGACAUCGCAUUCUAUUUUGUUGGUUUCUAGGAUCGAUGUAAUGAUUAAUAGGGAUAGUUGGGGGCAUUAGUAUUCAAUUGUCAGAGGUGAAAUUCUUGGAUUUAUUGAAGACUAACUACUGCGAAAGCAUUUGCCAAGGAUGUUUUCAUUAAUCAAGAACGAAAGUUAGGGGAUCGAAGACGAUCAGAUACCGUCGUAGUCUUAACCAUAAACUAUGCCGACUAGGGAUCGGAUGAUGUUGAUUUUUUAAUGACUCAUUCGGCACCUUACGGGAAACC
This 767-nucleotide ribosomal RNA is filed under the name uncultured Glomeromycotina. RNAcentral's name for it is "SSU rRNA". It matches the Rfam family "Eukaryotic small subunit ribosomal RNA", at positions 330 to 1099 of the family's 1831-position model. Lineage: Eukaryota; Fungi; Glomeromycota. The record is from RNAcentral.